GGUGGCAGCAUGGGACAUCUGAGAGAAACACAGUGUUACAAAUGUCAGUCCCACAUUUUAAAAUGAAUGUGUUAUUGGCACUUGAAUGACGGGUUAGACAGCACCUUGACCCCAGCGAGGAUCCCUGUGGUAGAAACACUGAAGUCCAGGAGGAUAAACGAGUGCCACAUGGUCUCCAGCGUUAAGUCGGCCUUUUUCCAUCAGCGCUACGGCCACACGCUCUGCUCGCUUGUGCAGCUGUACACACGAGGCUGUGUUGGCCACAGUGCCCUGAAAAAACACAAAUUUAAAAGAUAUAAGAUGACAGUAAAUAUACACAAUCUGACUCUGAAGGCUGGGAUGAUGAGUUUUGUACCUUGGCGUUGAGCAGCAGAAACAGAGGGUGAUCUGGUGUGGCCUGAGCUCUCCACUGCAGAACAUCCGGCAUAUACAGGAACUACGAGACGAGAGACGACACAUUCACACAACACUACACUUCAAGAUCACGCAGUGUCCUAAAGAAGUGCACUUCACUGUAUCGAAUGUGCACGUGUAGUGUACUUCAAAUCUUAGAAGUACAUUCUACUUGUAGAUAUUACAAUAUUAAUGAAAUAAAAUAUCAAUUUCUAUUAUAAUACAUUUAAAUACAAGUAACGUGCAGUUAAGUGUCUGAAAAUAUUACAUUCAGUUCACAUCUAAGUAUAUUCUCUUAAAAUAUAAUAUUUCCAUAAUAAUGUCUCUUUUUAAAAAAUAUGCUAAAUGUACUUCUUUUUCUCCAGUGACCAGGUUUGGGUUGAUCUUUACCUGCUCGUUGUCUUCCAGCUGUGAAACAUCUCUCCCACAGGCCUGUGCAAUCCUCUUUCCUGCCACUAGGUUUCCAACUAUCAUGGAAGCAGGACCCACCUCUGAAACAAAAGAGUCAACAGGUUUGGGCAGGUUGGUGACACAGGUAUGAGGACACAUGAGGACGUUGCAGGGGUGCAGGGCUCCCUCCAGGAAGCGCUGUUUGGUCUCUGAGAUGUGGAUGCCGCCCAGAGGAGCUUUGGGGAGUGUGUUAGCUGGCACCAGAGCCAGACAGUACACUCCCACCUGAUGGAUGCUGUCGAUAGCCUGAGAGUGAGACAGAAAGUGCUUAAGAAAAUAUGCAUCACACGGCUCAUCCACUGGAAGCUGUCCUCCUCUGAGCCGUCUGGCCUCUGUUCUGCCACCACAACUAUGCGUUCAUCACGCAGCACUGAUACAGAGAACACCGCAAUCCUGCAAGAGAACAGCGAUG
This is a long non-coding RNA of Carassius gibelio (silver crucian carp), 1255 nucleotides long. RefSeq lists it as uncharacterized. The transcript is spliced from 4 exons. The record is from RefSeq and is a predicted model, not a curated record. Lineage: Eukaryota; Metazoa; Chordata; Actinopteri; Cypriniformes; Cyprinidae.